AGUAACACGUGGGUAACCUGCCUUGUAGAGGGGGAUAGCCUUCCGAAAGGAAGAUUAAUACCGCAUAACAUCUUUUUAUCGCAUGGUAGAAAGAUCAAAGGAGCAAUCCGCUACAAGAUGGACCCGCGGCGCAUUAGCUAGUUGGUGAGGUAACGGCUCACCAAGGCGACGAUGCGUAGCCGACCUGAGAGGGUGGUCGGCCACAUUGGAACUGAGACACGGUCCAG
Molecule: ribosomal RNA, 227 nt
Filed under: uncultured bacterium
Lineage: Bacteria
Description: partial 16S ribosomal RNA
Rfam family: Bacterial small subunit ribosomal RNA
Source: RNAcentral